GAUGAACGCUGGCGGCGUGCCUAAUACAUGCAAGUCGAGCGAACGGACGAGAAGCUUGCUUCUCUGAUGUUAGCGGCGGACGGGUGAGUAACAUGUGUAUAACCUACCUAUAAGACUGGUAUAAUUUCGGGAAACCGGAGCUAAUACCGGAUAAUAUUUUGAACCGCAUGGUUCAAAAGUGAAAGACGGUCUUGCUGUCACUUAUAGAUGGAUCCGCGCUGCAUUAGCUAGUUGGUAAGGUAACGGCUUACCAAGGCAACGAUGCAUAGCCGACCUGAGAGGGGGAUCGGCCACACUGGAACUGGGACACGGUCAGGACUACUGCGGGAGGCAGCAGUAGGGAAUCUUCAGCAAUGGGCGAAAGCCUGACGGAGCAACGACGCGUGAGAGAUGGAGGUCUUCGGAUCGUAAAACUCUGUUAUUAGGGAAGAACAUAUGUGUAAGUAACUGUGCACGUCGUGACGGUAACUAAUAAGAAAGCCACGGCUAACUACGUG
RNAcentral lists this ribosomal RNA (497 nucleotides) under uncultured bacterium. RNAcentral describes it as "partial 16S ribosomal RNA". It matches the Rfam family "Bacterial small subunit ribosomal RNA", at positions 28 to 507 of the family's 1533-position model. The record is from RNAcentral.